RNAcentral lists this ribosomal RNA (1343 nucleotides) under uncultured bacterium. RNAcentral's name for it is "16S ribosomal RNA". It matches the Rfam family "Bacterial small subunit ribosomal RNA", at positions 28 to 1378 of the family's 1533-position model. The record is from RNAcentral.
GACGAACGCUGGCGGCGUGCUUAACACAUGCAAGUCGAACGGAAAGGCCCUGCUUUUGUGGGGUGCUCGAGUGGCGAACGGGUGAGUAACACGUGAGUAACCUGCCCUUGACUUUGGGAUAACUUCAGGAAACUGGGGCUAAUACCGGAUAGGAGCUCCUGCUGCAUGGUGGGGGUUGGAAAGUUUCGGCGGUUGGGGAUGGACUCGCGGCUUAUCAGCUUGUUGGUGGGGUAGUGGCUUACCAAGGCUUUGACGGGUAGCCGGCCUGAGAGGGUGACCGGCCACAUUGGGACUGAGAUACGGCCCAGACUCCUACGGGAGGCAGCAGUGGGGAAUAUUGCACAAUGGGCGGAAGCCUGAUGCAGCAACGCCGCGUGCGGGAUGACGGCCUUCGGGUUGUAAGCCGCUUUCGCCUGUGACGAAGCGUGAGUGACGGUAAUGGGUAAAGAAGCACCGGCUAACUACGUGCCAGCAGCCGCGGUGAUACGUAGGGUGCGAGCGUUGUCCGGAUUUAUUGGGCGUAAAGGGCUCGUAGGUGGUUGAUCGCGUCGGAAGUGUAAUCUUGGGGCUUAACCCUGAGCGUGCUUUCGAUACGGGUUGACUUGAGGAAGGUAGGGGAGAAUGGAAUUCCUGGUGGAGCGGUGGAAUGCGCAGAUAUCAGGAGGAACACCAGUGGCGAAGGCGGUUCUCUGGGCCUUUCCUGACGCUGAGGAGCGAAAGCGUGGGGAGCGAACAGGCUUAGAUACCCUGGUAGUCCACGCUGUAAACGGUGGGUACUAGGUGUGGGGUCCAUUCCACGGGUUCCGUGCCGUAGCUAACGCUUUAAGUACCCCGCCUGGGGAGUACGGCCGCAAGGCUAAAACUCAAAGGAAUUGACGGGGCCCCGCACAAGCGGCGGAGCAUGCGGAUUAAUUCGAUGCAACGCGUAGAACCUUACCUGGGUUUGACAUGGAUCGGGAGUGCUCAGAGAUGGGUGUGCCUCUUUUGGGGUCGGUUCACAGGUGGUGCAUGGCUGUCGUCAGCUCGUGUCGUGAGAUGUUGGGUUAAGUCCCGCAACGAGCGCAACCCUUGUUCACUGUUGCCAGCACGUUAUGGUGGGGACUCAGUGGAGACCGCCGGGGUCAACUCGGAGGAAGGUGGGGAUGACGUCAAGUCAUCAUGCCCCUUAUGUCCAGGGCUUCACGCAUGCUACAAUGGCUGGUACAGAGAGUGGCGAGCCUGUGAGGGUGAGCGAAUCUCGGAAAGCCGGUCUCAGUUCGGAUUGGGGUCUGCAACUCGACCUCAUGAAGUCGGAGUCGCUAGUAAUCGCAGAUCAGCAACGCUGCGGUGAAUAAAUUCCCGGG